AGUCCUACGGGAGGCAGCAGUGGGGAAUAUUGCACAAUGGGGGAAACCCUGAUGCAGCGACGCCGCGUGAGUGAUGAAGUAUUUCGGUAUGUAAAGCUCUAUCAGCAGGGAAGAUAAUGACGGUACCUGACUAAGAAGCUCCGGCUAAAUACGUGCCAGCAGCCGCGGUAAUACGUAUGGAGCAAGCGUUAUCCGGAUUUACUGGGUGUAAAGGGAGCGUAGACGGCAGAGCAAGUCUGAAGUGAAAGCCCGCGGCCCAACUGCGGGACUGCUUUGGAAACUGCCCGGCUAGAGUGCUGGAGGGG
This 305-nucleotide ribosomal RNA is filed under the name uncultured bacterium. Its description in RNAcentral is "bacterial SSU rRNA". It matches the Rfam family "Bacterial small subunit ribosomal RNA", at positions 335 to 657 of the family's 1533-position model. The record is from RNAcentral.